RNAcentral lists this transfer RNA (66 nucleotides) under Thamnomys kempi (Kemp's thicket rat). RNAcentral describes it as "tRNA-Thr". The record is from RNAcentral. Lineage: Eukaryota; Metazoa; Chordata; Mammalia; Rodentia; Muridae.
GCCCUGAUAGUAUAAAUAUUACCCUGGUCUUGUAAACCAAAAAUGAGGAACUAUCCUCUCAAGGCA